This is a long non-coding RNA of Sinocyclocheilus anshuiensis, 88 nucleotides long. RefSeq lists it as uncharacterized. The record is from RefSeq and is a predicted model, not a curated record. Lineage: Eukaryota; Metazoa; Chordata; Actinopteri; Cypriniformes; Cyprinidae. The transcript is spliced from 3 exons.
AGAGAGUGUGUUUUAACAGUUAUUAAAUAAAAAACUAGCAAAACGAGUUGCGCGGUGUCCCCACCACAUUUCAACGCAAAGUUACGCC